Molecule: ribosomal RNA, 497 nt
Filed under: uncultured bacterium
Lineage: Bacteria
Description: partial 16S ribosomal RNA
Rfam family: Bacterial small subunit ribosomal RNA
Source: RNAcentral
GAUGAACGCUGGCGGCGUGCCUAAUACAUGCAAGUCGAGCGGACAAAUCGAAAGCUUGCUCCUGUUUCGUUAGCGGCGGACGGGUGAGUAACACGUGGGUAACCUGCCUUUUAGACGGGGAUAACAUCGAGAAACCGGAGCUAAUACCGGAUAAUAUGUAGAACCGCAUGGUUCUUUGUUGAAAGACGGCGCAACUUUCCGUUACAGGUGGAUCCGCGGCGCAUUAGCUAGUUGGUAAGGUAACGGCUUACCAAGGCGACGAUGCGUAGCCGACCUGAGAGGGUGAUCGGCCACACUGGAACUGAGACACGGCCCAGACUCCUACGGGAGGCAGCAGUAGGGAAUCUUCCGCAAUGGGCGAAAGUCUGACGGAGCAACGCCGCGUGAGCGAUGAAGGCCUUCGGAUCGUAAAGCUCUGUUGUUAGGGAAGAACAAGUAUCGAAGUAACUGGGGUUACCGUGACGGUACCUAAUGAGAAAGCCACGGCUAACUACGUG